GUCCUGAUACUGUGCUGGUGGGUCCUGUCAUUGUGCUGGUGGGUCCUGAUACGGUGCUGGUGAUUUUGGAUAAGAAGUUGGUCAUAUUUGAAACAAAUGUUACAAAAUCAAUAAAAUUGGGCAGAUAAUUGUUGUCAAUAGGAUCUAUGACUCAUAUUUUAGCUCUUGUGCAUCCAUUUGGCUGUUUAAUAUGUGUUUUGAAAUGAU
This 207-nucleotide long non-coding RNA is filed under the name Mytilus galloprovincialis (Mediterranean mussel). The record is from RNAcentral. Lineage: Eukaryota; Metazoa; Mollusca; Bivalvia; Mytilida; Mytilidae.